Molecule: ribosomal RNA, 423 nt
Filed under: uncultured bacterium
Lineage: Bacteria
Description: partial 16S ribosomal RNA
Rfam family: Bacterial small subunit ribosomal RNA
Source: RNAcentral
GAAUCUUCCACAAUGGACGAAAGUCUGAUGGAGCAAUGCCGCGUGAGUGAAGAAGGUUUUCGGAGCGUAAAACUCUGUUGUGAGGGAAGAACAAGUACGAGAGUAACUGCUCGUACCUUGACGGUACCUCAUUAGAAAGCCACGGCUAACUACGUGCCAGCAGCCGCGGUAAUACGUAGGUGGCAAGCGUUGUCCGGAGUUAUUGGGGGUAAAGCGCGCGCAGGCGGUCCCUUAAAUCUGAUGUGAAAUCCCGCGGCUCAACCGUGGAAGGUCAUUGGAAACUGGGGGACUUGAGUACAGAAGAGGAAAGCGGAAUUCCAAGUGUAGCGGUGAAAUGCGUAGAGAUUUGGAGGAACACCAGUGGCGAAGGCGGCUUUCUGGUCUGUAACUGACGCUCAUGCACGAAAGCGUGGGGAGCAAACA